UGCAAGUCGAACGAACUCUGGUAUUGAUUGGUGCUUGCAUCAUGAUUUACAUUUGAGUGAGUGGCGAACUGGUGAGUAACACGUGGGAAACCUGCCCAGAAGCGGGGGAUAACACCUGGAAACAGAUGCUAAUACCGCAUAACAACUUGGACCGCAUGGUCCGAGUUUGAAAGAUGGCUUCGGCUAUCACUUUUGGAUGGUCCCGCGGCGUAUUAGCUAGAUGGUGGGGUAACGGCUCACCAUGGCAAUGAUACGUAGCCGACCUGAGAGGGUAAUCGGCCACAUUGGGACUGAGACACGGCCCAAACUCCUACGGGAGGCAGCAGUAGGGAAUCUUCCACAAUGGACGAAAGUCUGAUGGAGCAACGCCGCGUGAGUGAAGAAGGGUUUCGGCUCGUAAAACUCUGUUGUUAAAGAAGAACAUAUCUGAGAGUAACUGUUCAGGUAUUGACGGUAUUUAACCAGAAAGCCACGGCUAACUACGUGCCAGCAGCCGCGGUAAUACGUAGGUGGCAAGCGUUGUCCGGAUUUAUUGGGCGUAAAGCGAGCGCAGGCGGUUUUUUAAGUCUGAUGUGAAAGCCUUCGGCUCAACCGAAGAAGUGCAUCGGAAACUGGGAAACUUGAGUGCAGAAGAGGACAGUGGAACUCCAUGUGUAGCGGUGAAAUGCGUAGAUAUAUGGAAGAACACCAGUGGCGAAGGCGGCUGUCUGGCUGUAACUGACGCUGAGGCUCGA
RNAcentral lists this ribosomal RNA (734 nucleotides) under Lactiplantibacillus plantarum. RNAcentral describes it as "bacterial SSU rRNA". It matches the Rfam family "Bacterial small subunit ribosomal RNA", at positions 56 to 756 of the family's 1533-position model. Lineage: Bacteria; Bacillati; Bacillota; Bacilli; Lactobacillales; Lactobacillaceae. The record is from RNAcentral.